Molecule: ribosomal RNA, 254 nt
Filed under: uncultured bacterium
Lineage: Bacteria
Description: partial 16S ribosomal RNA
Rfam family: Bacterial small subunit ribosomal RNA
Source: RNAcentral
UACGUAGGGUGCGAGCGUUGUCCGGAAUUAUUGGGCGUAAAGAGCUCGUAGGCGGUCUGUCGCGUCUGCUGUGAAAACCCGAGGCUCAACCUCGGGCCUGCAGUGGGUACGGGCAGACUAGAGUGCGGUAGGGGAGAAUGGAAUUCCUGGUGUAGCGGUGGAAUGCGCAGAUAUCAGGAGGAACACCGAUGGCGAAGGCAGUUCUCUGGGCCGUAACUGACGCUGAGGAGCGAAAAGCGUGGGGAGCAAACAGG